CACCGAAGCUGCGGGUGUCACGCAAGUGACGCGGUAGAGGAGCGUUCUGUAAGCCUGUGAAGGUGAGUUGAGAAGCUUGCUGGAGGUAUCAGAAGUGCGAAUGCUGACAUGAGUAACGACAAUGGGUGUGAAAAACACCCACGCCGAAAGACCAAGGGUUCCUGCGCAACGUUAAUCGACGCAGGGUUAGUCGGUUCCUAAGGCGAGGCUGAAAAGCGUAGUCGAUGGGAAACAGGUUAAUAUUCCUGUACUUCUGGUUACUGCGAUGGAGGGACGGAGAAGGCUAGGCCAGCUUGGCGUUGGUUGUCCAAGUUUAAGGUGGUAGGCUGAAAUCUUAGGUAAAUCCGGGGUUUCAAGGCCGAGAGCUGAUGACGAGUCGUCUUUUAGAUGACGAAGUGGUUGAUGCCAUGCUUCCAAGAAAAGCUUCUAAGCUUCAGGUAACCAGGAACCGUACCCCAAACCGACACAGGUGGUCGGGUAGAGAAUACCAAGGCGCUUGAGAGAACUCGGGUGAAGGAACUAGGCAAAAUGGCACCGUAACUUCGGGAGAAGGUGCGCCGGCUAGGGUGAAGGAUUUACUCCGUAAGCCCUGGCUGGUCGAAGAUACCAGGCCGCUGCGACUGUUUAUUAAAAACACAGCACUCUGCAAACACGAAAGUGGACGUAUAGGGUGUGACGCCUGCCCGGUGCCGGAAGGUUAAUUGAUGGGGUUAGCGCAAGCGAAGCUCUUGAUCGAAGCCCCGGUAAACGGCGGCCGUAACUAUAACGGUCCUAAGGUAGCGAAAUUCCUUGUCGGGUAAGUUCCGACCUGCACGAAUGGCGUAACGAUGGCGGCGCUGUCUCCACCCGAGACUCAGUGAAAUUGAAAUCGCUGUGAAGAUGCAGUGUAUCCGCGGCUAGACGGAAAGACCCCGUGAACCUUUACUGUAGCUUUGCACUGGACUUUGAGCCUGCUUGUGUAGGAUAGGUGGGAGGCUUUGAAGCGUGGACGCCAGUUCGCGUGGAGCCAUCCUUGAAAUACCACCCUGGCAUGCUUGAGGUUCUAACUCUGGUCCGUAAUCCGGAUCGAGGACAGUGUAUGGUGGGCAGUUUGACUGGGGCGGUCUCCUCCUAAAGAGUAACGGAGGAGUACGAAGGUGCGCUCAGACCGGUCGGAAAUCGGUCGCAGAGUAUAAAGGCAAAAGCGCGCUUGACUGCGAGACAGACACGUCGAGCAGGUACGAAAGUAGGUCUUAGUGAUCCGGUGGUUCUGUAUGGAAGGGCCAUCGCUCAACGGAUAAAAGGUACUCCGGGGAUAACAGGCUGAUACCGCCCAAGAGUUCAUAUCGACGGCGGUGUUUGGCACCUCGAUGUCGGCUCAUCACAUCCUGGGGCUGAAGCCGGUCCCAAGGGUAUGGCUGUUCGCCAUUUAAAGUGGUACGCGAGCUGGGUUUAGAACGUCGUGAGACAGUUCGGUCCCUAUCUGCCGUGGACGUUUGAGAUUUGAGAGGGGCUGCUCCUAGUACGAGAGGACCGGAGUGGACGAACCUCUGGUGUUCCGGUUGUCACGCCAGUGGCAUUGCCGGGUAGCUAUGUUCGGAAAAGAUAACCGCUGAAAGCAUCUAAGCGGGAAACUUGCCUCAAGAUGAGAUCUCACUGGGAACUUGAUUCCCCUGAAGGGCCGUCGAAGACUACGACGUUGAUAGGCUGGGUGUGUAAGCGUUGUGAGGCGUUGAGCUAACCAGUACUAAUUGCCCGUGAGGCUUGACCAUAUAACACCCAAACA
This 1765-nucleotide ribosomal RNA is filed under the name Pseudomonas aeruginosa. RNAcentral describes it as "bacterial LSU rRNA". It matches the Rfam family "Bacterial large subunit ribosomal RNA", at positions 1192 to 2925 of the family's 2925-position model. The record is from RNAcentral. Lineage: Bacteria; Pseudomonadati; Pseudomonadota; Gammaproteobacteria; Pseudomonadales; Pseudomonadaceae.